UUUGCAACAGCCGAUGUGUUUUAAAGGAACUGUAAUGCUGGUGGGAUUACACAGAUGUUGUUAAAGUAUCUGAGAAAAUGUUGAUACUGACAAUGUCAGUAAAAUGUUCAAUGACAACAUGUUUCAUUGGUUUUCCACCAAAAUAUCUGAUCCUGCAGCAAAAUAUCCACUUGUAGUGACCCCAGCAUUGUUGAACUGCUUUAUGGUUCUGUCACAGCACUUGGUUAAAGCUUCUAAGUUCUUAUAAGAAUGUAUCGAGUGUUGAGGUGAAAACAGUGUGACAGGAGUCUGUGGUAGAGAUGGACCUACGGAGAAUUAUCUCACCUCGGCUUCACCGAGCUUCACGCGUUUCCACUCAGGUUGAAAACGCUCAUUUAAACAUAGAAACUCACCCUGAGAGGCGACGCCCGGGGCAACAGCACCCAGCAGAGCCUCCGCCCGCACCCCUCACUGCCGCUGCUCGUUGAGCUUGUUGCCUUGAGCUCACAUUAAUAAUUCAAGAUCUACACUGAGUCAUGCUGAAGCCUACUAACCCUCAAUGAGACGCCUGGUUUUCUGAUCCUGUUGUGGAACUUGUGAAUAUUGUUUUGGACUUCUGAAAAGGAUAAACC
Molecule: long non-coding RNA, 611 nt
Organism: Xiphias gladius (swordfish)
Lineage: Eukaryota; Metazoa; Chordata; Actinopteri; Istiophoriformes; Xiphiidae
Exons: 3
Source: RefSeq, a predicted model, not a curated record